RNAcentral lists this long non-coding RNA (804 nucleotides) under Oryzias javanicus (javanese ricefish). RNAcentral describes it as "lncRNA (ENSOJAG00000002907.1)". The record is from RNAcentral. Lineage: Eukaryota; Metazoa; Chordata; Actinopteri; Beloniformes; Adrianichthyidae.
GGGGAGGGCAUUAGGACCCAGGAGGUUAGGGGCCAGCUGCUCUCUCCCAGCAGAGAGUAGUUCCGGGGCAGCAGCCAGGAAUGGCAUAUAAGGCGUGGGAGUGAGCCAUUCACCUGUUGACGUCUUCCGGUGUGCGGCCACUCAAACUGAACCGAGCCCGACGGCGGUACGAAGGAGCACGGGAAAAAAACCCAGGUUGUCAGUCAGGCCAGACGUGCAGUUUGCGUGGGCCCCUCCCUUCAUCUUAAGUGCUCCACGGCAGCCACGCAGGUGCAGCCUCGACGCGGAUGCCAGAACUUGUAAUCACGUGAGAACCUGCAGACUCUGAAAAGACAGAGUGGAAGAAGGGGAUUGUAAACGAUUAACCCAUGUGCUUUUAGACUUGUCACUGUUUUUAUCUUCACUGCUCGCUUUUAUUUUUUAUCUUUUUAAUGUGAUGUCUUGGGGUGUUUUAACCCCUUUUAAUGCCUGGCACUUUUAAAACUUAGUUGACCUUUUAUCUAGUAGUUUUUAAACAGUAACCUGGUGCUGUGCAGGAUUGUGGGUUUUAUUUGCUGUGCUGUCCCCUCGUUUUUAUUGAGCAUGUUGUGUUUUAUUUGAGGGACAACUGUGUUGUUUUAAGUUACCCUGUCACAGCCCAGUUUCUUAAAAAAACUACUGUUGGUCCAGUGCCUUGUGUUUUAAUAAAUAUAUUUUAAAUACCAGCUACUGCCUCCUCCGGUUUAUUCUGGAGACCUGCUUUUAGUUGUGCAGCUAGCAUCCUUUCUGGCUACAAGGGAUUGCUGGCUGCUACACAUGGAUGGC